This is a long non-coding RNA of Anolis carolinensis (green anole), 10338 nucleotides long. RefSeq lists it as uncharacterized. The record is from RefSeq and is a predicted model, not a curated record. The transcript has 3 exons. Lineage: Eukaryota; Metazoa; Chordata; Lepidosauria; Squamata; Anolidae.
GCUUCAGUGGGUCUACGCUAAGAGGAACUAACAAUUUUGGCCAAUGAGUCUUGUGGUUCCUUGCAACCAAUUAUCCUUUGGUCCUCGAGAUGUUUUGGAUUUCAGCUCCCAGAAGUCCCAGCUAGUAAGGUCAAUGCUCAGGAAUUCUGGAUGCUGAAGGACAAAAAGUGAAUCACUCAACUACAGCUGAAUCUGAUAAAUUAGAUUCUAUCCUACAAAGCCUUAACAGGCAUUAAUCUUUUAAGAUAUAAUGAGACUCUGUUCUCUCUAAAGGUGUGCACUUUAAAUAUAUCCUGCUAAGAUUCUGCCUCCUGUCUCUCUCUCUCACCGUUUUCUCAAUUUAAAGUUUGACAUGAGGAUAUCGAAAGUGAGCACAUGCCUCUAAUUAUGGAAAUAACUCACCCUACUUGCUCCAAUGAGGGUUGUGUUGGUAGAGCAUUUAGAUGGUGGUGGAUAUCAGGGUGUUAAAUUUUCCUUUGAUGUCAUGUGUUUCUGGAAAUAAGAGGAAGAAUUCCUUUUGCGUUCUAAAUUGGUCCCAUUUUUACAAUGCUGUUUAACUACUUCCUCAGGAAAUUUCAGCAGACGUGUUGGCAGGCCUUCAUUCCAAGUAGAAACUAUCUCAUCAGGAAGCUUAAAAGGACUCUUGCUAAAAUCCAUGACUUAGCUUUGCCUCUCUCCUGCUGAAAUCACUAGCUUGGAAAUUUAGCCAAAACAAAAUGAGGAAGAUUAACUGCUUCAAGGAAAAAGAACUGGAAGAGCAGAGGAUGAUGGAUCUCAAUAAACCAUAGUUGAACUAGAUCUAUCAUUCAGCCAUGCUUGCCACCCAACUAACCAUUUCAAGCUAGUCAGAAGAUCUUCACAAUCAACCACUCAGUACUUCACACACCUUGAAAUCCUUGUGUCAUUAUGAAAAGUUACCUUUUUGGACUACACAGGUGGAUGGAGGAUCCUGGAAAUAGUAAUCUAAAAGAGUACCUUCUCCAACUCUUAUUCUUAGGUGGAUUGCCAAUGUGAUCCAUUGAAAAUCUGUUGAAAUCCAAAGAAGAAUGGGAUUCCAGACCAGGGUGUCCUUUUUUACACAUUGUUGUUCCAUCUUGCAUAACCAGCAGCAUCUGGGGCACAUUUUUCUUAGUGACUGGGGUACAAAUGGGCUCCCCAAACAUAACUGUGACUGUCCAGUUGUCUAUUAGGGCAGAGAGGAGAUAUGAAGGGAAAGCAUUUUAAGUGUAUGUUAAAAGGGGGAAAUUGAUCUUUGAGCCUCUGUGAACAAAAAGAAACCCCUAUGUAUAUGAAAGUCACAAGUUUUGAAGAUCUGCAUGAUGUUUUCUCUAUCAAAAUGUAUUCCUUGGAAAAUCCCAACUUUUUAAUCCCACUUCCCAUUCAGUUUAAAUUAACUUAAUAUUUCCUGAAAUUAAAUUCACUUCUCUCUAUAGCUGUCUGUUUGUGAUUGUACUGUAACUAGCUAAGCUGACCACUGCCAAGAAACACAGUGUUUGCUUCCAGGAUCCAGAUUCCACAGAGAUCAAGUGAGGAAAGGAGGAAUGCUAGCAAUAAAAGACAAUGAUCCUAAGGAUUAAAUAGUGUGAUAUUGCACUUUAAUAUUAUGCACUCUACAUUAUGACUAUAGCGCUUGAAUAAUAAUUUAGAAGUUGGGGGAAGUUAAUAUCUGACAUAUUGCCUGAAUCUAGAUGGUCAAUGGAGGGGAAGGGGGGAAGGAAACAAGCAGGGGGGAGGACACAAGGGGGGAGAAGGGAGGGAAACCCAGGAUAUUUCAAGAGAGAGUUUGGAUGCAAAACCAUGGAUAUUUGGUUCAAAGCAACAAAAAGAACUAGAAAGUCUUUAUAAUUCCAACAAUUUCUUUUACUUUGUGGAUAAGCCCUUUGACUCCAUUCUAGCUUUUCCAAAUUCCAUUUGGCUCCAAACCUACCCCACCCUAUCUCUGCACAGUUUCACCUUUUGUAGACUGGGUUUCUCAUUUCAGGAAAAAACUCUCUCAAAUAUAAUAUAUUGUCUAUUACAACCCUUUAGUUAAAUCCCUGGCCAUCAAUUUAUAGCACAGUAUUUGCACCAGGUCAUACCACCUUACAUGGCUCAGGCCUCUUCUACACUGCAAUAUAAAAUUUAGAUUAUCUGCUUUGAACUGGAUUAUAUGGCAGUGUAGAAGGGGCCUCAGUGUGGUUCUAUUCAACUGCAGGCAACAAUACAAUAAACUUUAUUAUGGUCCAUGGACCUGCAGCUGUUAAGUGUAUAACAUACAGGAGUUUACAUAACAUUUAAAACAGAAAUGUGUUUAACAGACAUAUACUACACAAUAUCAGGUAAUACUCUGAUCGGAGACUAGGCUCUUUCUCAGCCUUGCUGCCACUUCAAGGAACUUUGCAACAGUGAGGGUCACCUCGUGUUUAUCCUCCAUAAGAUAUCUGACCUUCCCUUGUGGGGCAUGGUCAGACAAUCGGGUCAGGAUUGGGUGUAUGAGUUGACCGUGUUGGGCUGAGUAAUAGUGGCACUGCAACAAGAUGUGUUCUAAUAAUUCUAUUUCAUUUCCACCGCAUGGGCAUAUCCUUUGGGAGUAUGGGAUACCAGAUAGUCUGCCAUUUAACAGCUCUGAUGGAAGUACAUUUAGUAUCGCUUUUGUGAAGAGUCUUUGGUAAAGCACCAUGAAGAAGAAAAUUACAUUACUUAAAUGGCUCAGUGUAUGGUAAGUUCAGGGCCCUAGGGGAACAUGGUGAAUUUGAGCGAGCUCUGAGCUCUCCCAGGACAAUGUCCCUCAUUUGUUGCUUCAAUAAUUUGGCCUUGGAGACCACAUCUAACCUGUAAGUGGCUGUCUCUGUAUAGUUCUUUGAUGAGGAAGAGUAGGCAAGAAUAUAUCUUUCCAAGACUGGUAAGUAAUUCCUGCUCUCGGAAAUCCCAGCCUGGCUCCAGGUAGAACAGGAAUCAUAACAUACCAUAUGUAGGAGCUGCGGUGGUGCAAUGGAUUAACCUUUGUGCCGGCUGAACUGCUGACUUGAACGUUGGCAGUUAAAAUCCGCGAGACAGGGUGAGCUCCCAUCUGUCAGCCCAGCUUCCCAUGUGGGGACAUGAGAGAAGCCCCCUGCUGGAUGAUAACACAUCCGGGCAUCCCCUGGGCAACAUCUUUGAAGAUGGCCAAUUCUCUCACACCAGAAGCAACUUGCCUCAAUCUGCUUCUGACACAAUAAAAAAGAGAGAGAACUCAGAAAGGGAGAAAGUGAUUUAAGCCUGGAUAGACAUCUCAUGUGAUCCAGACCAUGCAUCAACAACAUAUAUUUCAUUUCCUGUAAAUGGUCAGAGGAGAAGCCAAUCCCUCCCUCCUUACACCAGGGAAGUGGGGGUGUGGAGAAAUCCAAACCAACUGUUGUUGAGGAGGGCCAUGUCGCUGCGAUAUUCAGAUUGGAAACAUCUCACAAAUUUUGGAAAAUAUAAUUAAAAUGAAAGGAAAAUUCAACACAAUGCUAAGAGGCUCUCAUUAGUGUAAGGAAAUCUGAUGCAAAGCAACCAGUUCAUCAUGAGUUCACUCAAUGGCUGCCAAGGGAAUAUAACACCUCAUAUAAAUGCUGUGACUGACAUUUCCACCCUAUCCAACUAUAAUAAAGAGAAGCAGUUCAGCUAAGCCUGUACCUCUGAUGUCAGUUUUCCAUAUCUGUUUCCUCUCUUUCAAAUUCAGCUUUCAGUACACUGUCAGUUGCCUGCAUAUAAUUUCAUAUCCCUCACAGGUUCAAAGGGCUAUGUAUAAUGUGGGAUAAGUAGAGGUUGCGGGGGAGUGGGAUUGAAUCUGGAAAAGCACUCCCCUUGUUCUCUUUGCAGCAACAGCCUUAAUGUCUCCUCACAUUCCCAUCCAUCAUUCAAGGCAUUGCACAGGCAGAGAGUGGGACAUGUCUGGCUUGCUUUUGCAAGAUAUAGCAGUUCUCCCACAUGUCCCCAAGCAAAGAUCUCAACUUGCCAGAGAUACAGGAAAACUAUGCAGGCCUUCUUCAUAUAUUGUAAUCCCUGCAGGAUAAUAUGAAGAAGAGAUCAGAGAGGAGGUAGAGAUAUACUAGGCAGAGCUCUAAGCAAGCAAACACAAUUGCCCCAUCACACAAUUUCCCCCUCCAAAUUGUGCUUUCUUGUCUUCUUUUUCUUUUUUGAUAUCCUUUUGACACAUACUGCUGAGAUUCAUGUUCAUAACCAUCUGGGACUCUCACACCGCAACAGAGUGAGAUGCCUCUUUGCAAUAGACUUCAGCAAGACUGGGCUAGCUCCCUGGGCUGGAGAAUGCAAGUGGGGCAACUGCUGGGGUGAGUCUGCUGCUGGCAUAUAGACCAGGCAUUUAUUACAAAGAUAUAGAAACUCAUCACAUUAGGAAAUAAUGUAUACAUCCCAUAGUUUUUUUUUCUGACGGAAUGCAUAAUGAAUGCAGAUGGGAUGUAUACUGACACCCAAACACUACGAUUCUUGCCUUCAGAAAAUGCUGCAUUGCGUCCCAUCACACCAUGGAAGGCUGGCUCCUCCCAAUCCAUUCAAAAGACUCCCUACAUCACUCUUUAAACAUUUUUCUAAAUCUGUGGAGUGACAUAGCCUCCAAAUCCCGAAUUACUGCUCUUCUGAGAUGUGAAAAUAUGCUCGCAUCUGUGCAGUAAAUGCACUUGUCUGAUAGCUGCCUUAUGGCAGAAAAUACAGAGUUCUGAGGAAUCUAAUAAGGAGUUCUUAGGAAUCUAAUGUCAUGGAGAAAGAUUCCCAUGUAUGUACACAUGCACACACACACACACACACACACACACACACAUAAUGAGGUAAAGCAGCAAUUGCCAAUUUUCUUAUUACCGGAGAUCUUUCUCCUUAUUUCAGAAACACAGUAUUUUCUAAUUUGAUGAGGUCCCUAAAUUGGAUCUACACUGCCAUAAAUGAAUUUUGGUUUUCUAUGCAGCAGUUUCUUUUGAGACCACAUAUGGAUCUAUGCUGACCAUAUAAUGUAGAUUCAAACUGCAUUAUAUGGUGGUAUAGAUCCAGUUCUAGUUGGAUGAAGAUAAUCUUUUUCAGUUUUGCCCAUCUGUGCAGCAGUAGGCAGUACACACCACACACAUAAUAUGAAGUUAAACUAAGCAACAUCGGUUAUAUAUGAUCAACUUGUGAUUAUAGUUAAACUAUUUUGCACUCUCAUCCCUAAAGGAGGGAAAUGAAAGAGAGAAUUUGGCCAAGAAAACCCUAUGUUGGGUUUGUUUUAGGGUCCCUAUAAAUUGGAAAUGACUUUUAGGCAUGGAACAACAAUGUCACCCAAAGCUCUUGUGCAGCCCUAAUCCUGUGAAGCAAAAUGGAGGACUACCAAAGGGAGAGCUAUUUAGUGGUGGAACACCACAUUUGGAAUCCAUUCACAAAGAUAGUUCUCCUCACAUCUACAUUAUAAAUAUUUCAAAACCGGAUAAAUAUUUUGUAGUUUGCCUACAUUUGAAGAUCCAUCUUAAUACUAUUAGACUACUGAACUCAUUGAUUUUUCUACCAGUUUGCAUUUCAGCUUUAUAUGCCGUGGUUUCCUUUGAGGCUACUUUGUUCUAGGCUAAUUACUGUCUUGAUUCAUUCUAUUCAUUGAAUGCAUAUUAAGCUUUGGUUGUCAGGCUGCCUUAGAAUGCAAACAAUAUUAAACAAACAAAAUAUAUUUAUAUCUUCAUCACUUGGUCUUCUGAUGUAAGGAUUGGGAAAUAACUUCACACCUGACCCUCUUUUCUUUUUUUAAAAAAUUCAUCCUGCAUGUUAUUUCUUUGUUGUUACUGGAAAACAAGAAAACAAAUGUAUUGAUGCCUUUGACUCAAUACUGCUGAUUUCUGUUGUCUCUAUGAGCUGGUGAACUUCAAGAUCUUAACAUUCUCCCUCCUCCUUUUGCUUUAGUUAACUGAUCAUCAUAGAAAUUAAUGCAAGCUACUAGUCAUUUAUACGCAUUUUUAUUGCUCAUUUAUAACCAUAAAGCAAUAAUAUUUUUGAGGGGAAAUAAAUGCUUUUCAACCAUAACCUGUGGGUGGUUUCACCUUGCCUUUCACUUUGCCCGUUUGAAUGAUGUUGGGGGGGGGGUGUAUUUGAGCUUGUGUCACAGUCUUCCUUUUUCUUGGUCAACUGUUUUGCCCUGGGUGGCCUUUUUCUAGAAAUGAAUGCUCCCACUGUUGCACAUUUAAGCAGCAACAUGUUGAAAAAGAGUUUAAUGAGAUGCACAUAUAUAUUAAUAGUGCAUCUAGUAGAGUUUGUGGCACUGUUUUCUUGAAAUGACCACCCAAACAUCAGUCCUUUGGUCAUAUCAACUCUCAACCGGCUUUGUCAACCAGAAGAACAAUACUCUGUUUCUUCCACAUGGCUGAGAAAACGCACAUUUUACAACUGAAUCACUAUGUAUGGAAUCUGUCUUGAAACAGCACUGUGCAGUCUUUCUCCUUAUAUGUGCCAAACAGCAAUGAAAGGUUGAAGGAAGGUGAUCAUUUGUAGCAAAAAGGACCCAUUUAUUCAGUGAUGUUUUCAAGGACAGUUUUUUCCAGCUUUUACUAACAAAUUCUGUUCUUUAAAAUGGCAGCAUUCUCAUAAUAUUUCCCAGGCUUUAUCCAUUGUCUGGUCUUUACCUCUGUUAAUCUCAUUCACUGGUAGUCUCCAGAAUUUGAAAACUGUGGAAAUCUCAUCACAGAACACAUGCAUCAAAUAACAACAACAACAACAACUUUAUUAUUGUAUCUCACCCCAUCUCCCCAAGGGGACUUGGGGCAGAUUACAUGGGGACCAAGCCCAGUGAUAUACAACAAAAUAAAACAACAGCGACUACAAAAUACAGUUCAUAAAAAUGUAUAAAAAGUAACAUGUGCCAGUGGUAAGUGCAAUGGCUGGAUAUGGGUGGAGAUAGGGACUCUGUAAAAUGUCCAAUCUAGUCAAAGGCACAUUGAAAUAGCCAGGUUUUAAAGUCUUUUCGGAAUGAGGCCACAGUGGGGGCUAAUCUGAUUUCUCUUGGGAGGGAGUUACAGAGCCAGGGAGCCACCUCUGAGAAGGCCAUCUCCCUUGUCCCCACCAACCACACUUGAGACAGUGGUGUGAGUGAGAGAAGAGCCUCCCCAGAAGAUCUUAAAGUUCAUACAGGUUCAUAAUAGAAGAUGCGAUCACAAAGAUAGGCCAGACCCGAGCUGUUUGGAGCUUUAUAAGUAAUAACCAGCACCUUGAAUUGGGAUCAGAAACUUAUCGACAACCAGUGGAGCUGUUUUAAUAAAGGGGGUAGUCUUCUCCCUAUAAUUUGCUCCCGUUAACAACCUGGCCACUGCCUGUUGCACUAAUUGGAGUUUCCGAGCCAUCUUCAAAGGCAGCUCCACAUGGAGUGCAUUGGAGUAAUCCAGUCUGGAGGUAACUAAGGAAUGGACAACCAUGAUCAAGUCAGGCUUCUUAAGGUAUGGCCACAGCUAGCACACAAGCUUUAACUAUGCAAAGGCCUUUCCCGAUACCACUCACACCUGAGCUUCAAGUGUCAGCACUGAGUCCAGGAGGACACCCAAACUGCGGGCCUGAGACUUCAGGGGGAUUGUAACCCCAUCCAGUACAGGUUGCCACCCAAUGCCCCGAUCAGCCAUAGAUGUUCUGGUCAUCCGCAAACCCAAUCAACAAUUGGGCCACACAGUUUACAGAAAACCUACACACACAGAUAGAUACCUUCAUAAAAACUCCAACCAUCACCCAAGUCAAAAAAGGAGCACAAUCAAAGCCCUGACAGACCGUGCACAAAGAAUCUGCGAACCUCACCUCCUCCAAGGUGAACUCAACCACCUAAACUGGGCUCUACAGGCCAAUGGAUACUCCACCACAGACAUCAGAAGAGCUGCAAGGCCAAGAACAAGCCAUGAGAGUCAAGACAAAGAUCCACCCAGAGGAAAGGUGUUCUUACCAUACAUCAAGGGAACUACUGACCGUAUAGGGAAGCUGAUGAAGAAGCACAACCUACAAACUAUCUACAGACCCACGAAGAAAAUCCAACAAAUGCUACGGUCAGCGAAGGACAAGAGGGAUCCUCUCUCUUCUGCAGGAGUCUACCGGAUACCAUGCAGCUGUGGACAAGUCUACAUAGGGACCACCAAACGCAGCGCCCAAACAAGAGUCAAAGAACAUGAAAGGCACUGCAGACUAAUUCAACCAGAGAAAUCAGCCAUAGCAGAGCAUUUGAUGAACCAGCCUGGACACAGAAUACUAUUUGAGAACACAAAAAUGCUGGACCAUUCUAACAACUAUCAUGUCAGACUACACAAAGAAGCCAUUGAAAUUCCACAAGCAUGUGGACAACUUCAACAGAAAGGAAGAAACCAUGAAAAUGAACAAAAUCUGGCUACCAGUAUUAAAAAACUCAAAAAUCAGAACAGUAAAUAAAAAGCAAUACUCUGAAAACAGAGGAUUUCCAGACAUGAAUCAACCAAGGGCAGUUAACGACUCUAAACAAAGGAUGCCCCAGAGGCAGGAAGAAGACAGCAGAUAAGCUUUUCAAUGCUAAUUAAAGUGAUUAACUACACAACAUUCACACUGACCUCUCUCACCCUAGACUUUCCACAGAUAUAUAUUAACCUCUUUGCUUAGUUUUCUCCAUACCUCACAACCUCUGAGGAUGCCUGCCAUAGAUGUGGGCGAAACGUCAGGAGAGAAUGCUUCUGGAACAUGGCCACACAGCCCGAAAGACAUACAACAACCCCAGCCAUAGAACUGACCAGGAGAACCUCUGUCUUGUCUGGAUUAAGUUUCAGCUUGUUAGCCCUCAUCCAGUCCAUCACAGCAGACAGGCAUUGUUCCAGGACACAAGGGAGUUCCUUGGAGCUAGGUGGAAAGGAGUAGUAAAGUUGAAUGUCAUCUGCGUAGAGAUGGCACCCAACUCCAAAACUCCAGAUGACCUCACCCAGCUGCUUCAGUGAGGUGGUGUAAUACUUAAAUUGAUCGCAAAAUUAAGCAAAUAUUUCAGUAUUUUUAAAGGGCGCUUCCUGAAAGCGCCAAAAUGCAGGUUUGAAAAGUGGGGCAAAAAAUCCUGGGACCUGACAGUAAGCACACAACAGAUCUGUCAGUCCUGGGAAAUGGUCCCUCACCAUCCUCAUACCUUCCUUUGAAGCAGAUCAAGAUGAAGGGCAGAUGGGACAUCAGGCGGAAUUUUUUUUUAAAAAAAAUAACUUCAAUAUGUGCUGGAUCUUAUAUGUGUAGAGAUCCAAAUCUACACACAAGCAGAUUUCUUAUUCUCACCCUUCACCCAACUGUUAAUUCAAGCUCAAUGUUAUAAAGAUCUAAAUAAAGGAAUGGUUGCAGAAAGUUCUAAUUGCUUUCCAAUUCUGAUUCCCUUUAGCCACCUGUGUGCCUGUGGCUCCAUAUUUUGACAGCCUGAUCAGCUUUUUUGGGCUUUUAAAAUGCGCACAUGCACUGGGGCAAUCCACACAGGGGGAAGGGAAGGAAAAUACAUGUUUUGCUAAUUUUGGGGGGCAGAAUUGGGUCUUAAAUUCACCUUUUAAACAUGUGCUUUCAGCUGUUAACCCGAUUUCACCUGCACCUUCACUAAAAAUCAUUUAGCUGCUGCCACCUCUUUUAUCCCAGUUACUUCUGUAAUUUUAGGCAUGUGUAAAAGGGCCCUAAAAGCAUCUUUGUUGCCACCAAAUGGGCCUGAUAAGGUGUUACUGUGUAUCCCUUGGAAAUACUAGCAAGACCCAAAUAUUUUGGGAAAGGCCCCACAUAUCUGCAAUUCAAUUGAUGUUACCUAGCUGUUAACACAAAACAAGGUACUUUCCUAAAUAAAGCAACAGCAAAUACUGUGGAGACUGGAAGCAACGUUCAUUACCAACUCCAUGGGAGACUUUAAGUCAGCUCUGAGACUUGAUCCUAUUCCUGAAUCCAGACUAUUUUUGCAUGCCCUUCUGUACAUUUUGGUUUAUUGGUUUUUGACUGAUACUUUAGCUCUCAGCAUUGGGACUGUUAAUUGACCACAUGGCUUCUCACAUCCUCAAGUGAUCUCCAACAGCUGGUGUGACAGAGAGGUUUUCUAGCACUCUAAUGGGCUCAUAAAAGAAGAUAUUGUCCUUCAAAUUGUUAAUGUGGGAUGUGUGUAUUGGUAGUGUUUAAAUGAAAAUUUGUGUCUUGCCUGUAUUGCAUACUGAUUGCAUCAUCCAGAGUGUACUAUAGUCUGGAAAGAGUUAAUUACUAAGAAGCUGUGAUGACCUUGAUGUGUGGCUGGAACUGGGGAGUGUCCAGACACAAGUGUGUGUGUAUUACUGAUUGCCUCAGUUCAGUUCUGAGUGAGUGUCAAGUCCUGUGUUCGUCUGCAAGUCUGUUUGUCUUUAUUACUGCUUUCAGUAAAACUUGUAUAUAGUUUUA